This 542-nucleotide transfer RNA is filed under the name uncultured cyanobacterium. RNAcentral describes it as "partial 16S-23S ribosomal RNA intergenic spacer". The stretch from base 212 to 284 matches the Rfam family "tRNA". The record is from RNAcentral. Lineage: Bacteria; Bacillati; Cyanobacteriota.
CAGGGAGACAACAAAAUGUUUAAUAUUAUUAUUUUGUCACCUUAGGUCGAUCGGUAUCUCACGUUCUUUAUUUGUUAAGAAUUUCAUUUCCUAAGUUUUUCUAGGUCACACCCAUUAUUUUUCCUGGGCCAUUAGCUCAGGUGGUUAGAGCGCACCCCUGAUAAGGGUGAGGUCCCUGGUUCAAGUCCAGGAUGGCCCAUAUCUCUAUGUUGGGGGUAUAGCUCAGUUGGUAGAGCGCCUGCUUUGCAAGCAGGAUGUCAGCGGUUCGAGUCCGCUUACCUCCACUGAUUACCACCUCUUCCAUAAUCGGUAGAAAGGAAAUGUUUUGAGUUGUGAUCAUUAUUCUGAACGAAUCUAGCUUCCUAAUGAAAUCAUUAAGAUGCUGGACUCAUUGAAUUAAUUUCAUUGUUUUCAGAGAACCUUGACAACUGCAUAGAUUAUUUUUAAAGACAAUAAGCAUCUUUAAUGAUGCAGAUUUAUUAUUUGUGCGAAUGCAUUAAUAACAAUUCUAUUAAGCUGAUGCUUCAAUUUUUGAAGUUAUU